This 76-nucleotide transfer RNA is filed under the name Vibrio phage phiKT1024. RNAcentral describes it as "tRNA-Arg". It matches the Rfam family "tRNA". From Rfam's summary of the family: Transfer RNA (tRNA) molecules are approximately 80 nucleotides in length. Their secondary structure includes four short double-helical elements and three loops (D, anti-codon, and T loops). Further hydrogen bonds mediate the characteristic L-shaped molecular structure. tRNAs have two regions of fundamental functional importance: the anti-codon, which is responsible for specific mRNA codon recognition, and the 3' end, to which the tRNAs corresponding amino acid is attached (by aminoacyl-tRNA synthetases). tRNAs cope with the degeneracy of the genetic code in two manners: having more than one tRNA (with a specific anti-codon) for a particular amino acid; and 'wobble' base-pairing, i.e. permitting non-standard base-pairing at the 3rd anti-codon position. Lineage: Duplodnaviria; Heunggongvirae; Uroviricota; Caudoviricetes. The record is from RNAcentral.
ACCCGUGUAGCUCAGUUGGAAGAGCACCGUCCUACGAAGUCGGUUGUCGGAAGUUCGAAUCUUCUCACGGGCGCCA